CCCUUAGAUGUCCGGGGCCGCACGCGCGCUACACUGAAGGAAUCAGCGUGGCUUUCUCCCUGACCCGAAAGGGUUGGGAAACCCGUUGAAUCUCCUUCGUGAUAGGGAUUGGGGCUUGAAAUUGUUCCCCAUGAACGAGGAAUUCCCAGUAAGCGCGAGUCAUAAGCUCGCGUUGAUUACGUCCCUGCCCUUUGUACACACCGCCCGUCGCUACUACCGAUUGAAUGAUUCGGUGAAGAUUCCGGACCGUGUUGUCACCGCUUCACGGCGGUUUUGACGUGGGAAGUUAUCUAAACCUCAUCAUUUAGAGGAAGGUGAAGUCGUAACA
RNAcentral lists this ribosomal RNA (328 nucleotides) under uncultured eukaryote. RNAcentral's name for it is "partial 18S ribosomal RNA". It matches the Rfam family "Eukaryotic small subunit ribosomal RNA", at positions 1470 to 1796 of the family's 1831-position model. The record is from RNAcentral.